AUAGAGACUUUUGCCCAAUGGACCAAAGUCCCCCCUGGCGGUGGCAAUACGCGGAUGCUGCAUGUGAUGAAGUUGCCUUUCUGGUCGUAAACCUCUGUUGUUAGGGAAGAACAAGUGCUAGUUGAAUAAGCUGGCACCUUGACGGUACCUAACCAGAAAGCCACGGCUAACUACGUGCCAGCAGCCGCGGUAAUACGUAGGUGGCAAGCGUUAUCCGGAAUUAUUGGGCGUAAAGCGCGCGCAGGUGGUUUCUUAAGUCUGAUGUGAAAGCCCACGGCUCAACCGUGGAGGGUCAUUGGAAACUGGGAGACUUGAGUGCAGAAGAGGAAAGUGGAAUUCCAUGUGUAGCGGUGAAAUGCGUAGAGAUAUGGAGGAACACCAGUGGCGAAGGCGACUUUCUGGUCUGUAACUGACACUGAGGCGCGAAAGCGUGGGGAGCAAACAGGAUUAGAUACCCUGGUAGUCCACGCCGUAAACGAUGAGUGCUAAGUGUUAGAGGGUUUCCGCCCUUUAGAUGCUGAUCAGUCACGCGGCGUUGCU
RNAcentral lists this ribosomal RNA (540 nucleotides) under Bacillus mycoides. Its description in RNAcentral is "bacterial SSU rRNA". It matches the Rfam family "Bacterial small subunit ribosomal RNA", at positions 354 to 866 of the family's 1533-position model. The record is from RNAcentral. Lineage: Bacteria; Bacillati; Bacillota; Bacilli; Caryophanales; Bacillaceae.